Molecule: ribosomal RNA, 722 nt
Filed under: Bacillus sp. (in: firmicutes)
Lineage: Bacteria; Bacillati; Bacillota; Bacilli; Caryophanales; Bacillaceae
Description: bacterial SSU rRNA
Rfam family: Bacterial small subunit ribosomal RNA
Source: RNAcentral
AUGCAGUCGAGCGGACAGAUGGGAGCUUGCUCCCUGAUGUUAGCGGCGGACGGGUGAGUAACACGUGGGUAACCUGCCUGUAAGACUGGGAUAACUCCGGGAAACCGGGGCUAAUACCGGAUGGUUGUUUGAACCGCAUGGUUCAAACAUAAAAGGUGGCUUCGGCUACCACUUACAGAUGGACCCGCGGCGCAUUAGCUAGUUGGUGAGGUAACGGCUCACCAAGGCAACGAUGCGUAGCCGACCUGAGAGGGUGAUCGGCCACACUGGGACUGAGACACGGCCCAGACUCCUACGGGAGGCAGCAGUAGGGAAUCUUCCGCAAUGGACGAAAGUCUGACGGAGCAACGCCGCGUGAGUGAUGAAGGUUUUCGGAUCGUAAAGCUCUGUUGUUAGGGAAGAACAAGUACCGUUCGAAUAGGGCGGUACCUUGACGGUACCUAACCAGAAAGCCACGGCUAACUACGUGCCAGCAGCCGCGGUAAUACGUAGGUGGCAAGCGUUGUCCGGAAUUAUUGGGCGUAAAGGGCUCGCAGGCGGUUUCUUAAGUCUGAUGUGAAAGCCCCCGGCUCAACCGGGGAGGGUCAUUGGAAACUGGGGAACUUGAGUGCAGAAGAGGAGAGUGGAAUUCCACGUGUAGCGGUGAAAUGCGUAGAGAUGUGGAGGAACACCAGUGGCGAAGGCGACUCUCUGGUCUGUAACUGACGCUGAGGAGCGAAAGC